Molecule: long non-coding RNA, 982 nt
Filed under: Homo sapiens (human)
Lineage: Eukaryota; Metazoa; Chordata; Mammalia; Primates; Hominidae
Description: HSALNT0381332
Source: RNAcentral
CCCACCCCAAAUUCACAUGUUGAAGCCCUAACCUCCAAUGUGAUGGUAUUUGGAGAUGGGGCCUUUGGAAGGUAAUUAAGGCUAGAUAGGGUCACAAGGUUGGUCCCCUUAUGAUGGCAUUUGUGUUCUUAUACAAAGAGACAGGAGACUCUCUCCAUCAUGUGAAGAUACAGCAAAACAGCAGCUGUCUGCAAGCCAGGAAGGGAACCCUCACCAGGAACCAAACCAUGAUCUCGGACGUCCCAGCCUCUAGGAACGCCUUUCCAUCUUCCUAGAGUGCCUAACCUGGCCUGUGUGCUUGUAAGCUUCUGCUCAUUCUUCAAUACCCAGCAGAGACUUCCUCCUCCAUGCAGCCUUCCAAGACCCACCUGAGUACAGAAAUUGGCUCUUCCUCCUGCUGGUCCUGAGGCACUCCAUGUUCAUCCUAAGAAAGGUCACUUGCUCUGGGGAAAGCCACCUGCCAUGCCGUGAGGACAUUCAAACUGCCUAUGGAGAGGUCCACAUAGUGAAAAACUAAGGCCCCUGCCAAAACCCAUGUGAGCCAUCUUGGAAACAGAUCCUUCAGCCCUAGAUCAGAUACCAUCAGCAUAAUGUCAUCAAUGCAGUGGACCAGUGUGACAUGGGGAACAUAAAGAUGGUCACGAUUUUUGCAGACUCCAUAUGCAAAGUAUUAUAGGCCUUUCCAUCUAUCCGGAGUGACCUACCAGAGACAGGACAGUUUGACCAGCAAGCUUCUGAUCACUCUUCAACACCCAGCAAGAAGUCUUAUCCUCCAUGCAGCCUUCUAAGACCUCUCUAAGCACAGGUAUCAGAUCCUCCUCUGGAUCACUCUGUCUUGUUACUGCAUUUAUCUCACUGGAUUUCAGUGACGUGUGUAGACAACUAAUUUGUGCCUGCCUGAUCUGUGAGCUCUUCAUUCAAAGCAGUUGGCUCCUGAGUACAGGAUAAACCCCUAGAAUUGAAUAAAUUUGGUCUUACCUCA